AAUUCUUCUGCUAAUGAAAUCUCGAUUAUGUAGCGAUUAUUGGCCAUAUUAAUGUCGAUGUACUCGUAACUUCCUGAUGUACGAUUUCCAGAUUUUUCCCACUUUGAUUUGCAGAGACCUGUAAGAUUGAAUUACAAGAAAACAAUUACUAUAAGAUAAAAGAUUUAAUUUAUAUACACCGACUAUAUAAUUUUUACGGUAUUUAUUUUACUAUGUUAUAAUAGAUAAUCUCUAUUUUUCAUGUCACCAUGUCCACUUAUUACAACAACAACAACAACAAUCCAGUAAAAUCUCACAGGUGAUGGAUCGGGGAGGGGGGGGUAUUAGUGUGUACGCAGACCUUACCCCUACUCCGAUGGAAUAGAUGUUGUUUCCGAUAAAUCUUCGGCUCAAGAAAAUGAACGAGACAAAGAGAGACAAUAUAUCAGUACCAUCAACAGAAACCAUAGCAAAUCGACUUAUUAUAAAUAUAAAUAAUUAUACAUGCAAUUAUCUUUUCUAUUGUAUUUUAACUUGUUUUAGUAUGUAUUUGCCUUAUUUUCAGGUCAUUAAUAUUAUGCAAAAUAAU
Molecule: long non-coding RNA, 568 nt
Filed under: Nicotiana tabacum (common tobacco)
Lineage: Eukaryota; Viridiplantae; Streptophyta; Magnoliopsida; Solanales; Solanaceae
Description: long non-coding RNA (NTAB_LNC008368)
Source: RNAcentral